Molecule: ribosomal RNA, 493 nt
Filed under: uncultured bacterium
Lineage: Bacteria
Description: partial 16S ribosomal RNA
Rfam family: Bacterial small subunit ribosomal RNA
Source: RNAcentral
AUUGAACGCUGGCGGCAUGUUUUACACAUGCAAGUCGAACGGUAACAGGUUAAGCUGACGAGUGGCGAACGGGUGAGUAAUGCAUCGGAACGUGCCCGAUCGUGGGGGAUAACGCAGCGAAAGCUGCGCUAAUACCGCAUACGAUCUGAGGAUGAAAGCGGGGGACCGUAAGGCCUCGCGCGAUCGGAGCGGCCGAUGUCAGAUUAGGUAGUUGGUGGGGUAAAGGCCCACCAAGCCGACGAUCUGUAGCUGGUCUGAGAGGACGACCAGCCACACUGGGACUGAGACACGGCCCAGACUCCUACGGGAGGCAGCAGUGGGGAAUUUUGGACAAUGGGCGAAAGCCUGAUCCAGCAAUGCCGCGUGCAGGAAGAAGGCCUUCGGGUUGUAAACUGCUUUUGUACGGAGCGAAAAGGUCCUUUCUAAUACAAGGGGCUCAUGACGGCACCGUAAGAAUAAGCACCGGCUAACUACGUGCCAGCAGCCGCAGUAA